Molecule: ribosomal RNA, 216 nt
Filed under: Pleurobranchus forskalii
Lineage: Eukaryota; Metazoa; Mollusca; Gastropoda; Pleurobranchida; Pleurobranchidae
Description: partial 16S ribosomal RNA
Source: RNAcentral
AAUGAUGAUGAAAUUAUUUUCAGGAUAUUUUUGUUGGGGCGACACAGAAACAAAUCAUAACUUUCUGGAAAAUACAUGACGAUUUUUAUAAGAUCGGAGAAAUUACCUGAGGGAUAACAGCAUAAUUUUAUAGUUUAGUUUGUGACCUCGAUGUUGGACUAGGAAAUUAAUAGACUAGCCGUUUAUUAUAUUGGUUCUGUUCGAACUGUUUUUCCU